AGAGUUUGAUAUGGCUCAGGACGAACGCUGGCGGCGUGCCUAACACAUGCAAGUCGAGCGGGGUGCAGCAAUGCACCUAGCGGCGGACGGGUGAGUAACACGUGGGGAACCUGCCCUAUACAGCGGGAUAGCCAUUCGAAAGGAUGAUUAAUACCGCAUAAUAAGUAACUGCCGCAUGGCAGAAACUUUAAAGGAGUCGGCAACGAAAGUUGCCGCAUCCGGUAUAGGAUGGACCCGCGGCCCAUUAGCUAGUUGGUGAGAUAACGGCCCACCAAGGCGACGAUGGGUAGCCGGCCUGAGAGGGCGAUCGGCCACAUUGGAACUGAGAUACGGUCCAGACUCCUACGGGAGGCAGCAGUGGGGAAUAUUGCGCAAUGGGGGAAACCCUGACGCAGCAACGCCGCGUGAGUGAAGAAGGCCUUCGGGUCGUAAAGCUCUGUCUUCGCUGACGAUAAUGACGGUAAGCGAGGAGGAAGCCACGGCUAACUACGUGCCAGCAGCCGCGGUAAUACGUAGGUGGCAAGCGUUGUCCGGAAUUACUGGGCGUAAAGGGUGCGUAGGCGGUUAUUUAAGUCAGAUGUGAAACCCCGGGGCUUAACUUCGGGAUUGCAUUUGAAACUGGGUGACUAGAGUGCAGGAGAGGAAAGCGGAAUUCCUAGUGUAGCGGUGAAAUGCGUAGAUAUUAGGAAGAACACCAGUGGCGAAGGCGGCUUUCUGGACUGUAACUGACGCUGAGGCACGAAAGCGUGGGGAGCAAACAGGAUUAGAUACCCUGGUAGUCCACGCUGUAAACGAUGA
This 798-nucleotide ribosomal RNA is filed under the name Clostridium sp. enrichment culture clone N4. RNAcentral describes it as "bacterial SSU rRNA". It matches the Rfam family "Bacterial small subunit ribosomal RNA", at positions 8 to 812 of the family's 1533-position model. Lineage: Bacteria; Bacillati; Bacillota; Clostridia; Eubacteriales; Clostridiaceae. The record is from RNAcentral.